Molecule: long non-coding RNA, 839 nt
Filed under: Carica papaya (papaya)
Lineage: Eukaryota; Viridiplantae; Streptophyta; Magnoliopsida; Brassicales; Caricaceae
Description: long non-coding RNA (CPAP_LNC012744)
Source: RNAcentral
AAAAAAAAAAAAAGAAAAAAAAAAAAAAAAAAAAAAAAAAAGAGGGCGGCCACGUCAGCAGCCACGUCAGCAGGCCCAGUCAGCAGUCCCGGCCAACCAGGGCCUGCCACGUGGCAAGACCGCGUCACUCCAAAAGGAGCCACGUUGGCGAUCCGCGUGGGUGCGAUCCGACGGCCCAGAUCAAUCACGCGAUCGGACGGCCCAGAUUCAAUCGCACGGACGGCCCAGAUUCAAUCAAAAACGAACGGCCCAGAUUAAAACAAAAUGAACGGCUGUGAUCAAAAGGCAAGGGGUUAUAAAUAGAACCCCCACACCAGACCACAAACCCUAGCCGCCAGCCACUCGCCGGAGAAGACGAACCAGAGGCCGACCGCCGCCACCCGCCGCCACUCGCCGCCGCACCGGGGAAAUUUCCGACCGCCGAUCGAGGUUGACCGGAGCCGAAUCACCAAAACACGAACCUCGCCGGAGAGCCGCUGCACCCGAGAGCGCCGCCGCCGGUAAGCUCCGUUUUUCCGUGAUUUUUUGGCCCCCCGAGGGCCCUAGGGCUGUUUUCUGACAAGGACCAAUGCGAGUGUGGCCGAAUUCGGCCGAAAACGGCCGAAAACAGUCAACCCGAGGCGACUCGCCGCCGCCAGCGGCGGCGCCGUCGCCGGAGCACGGCGGAGCCGCCGUGCCGGAGUUGCGAUUUGGUCCGAAAGGGGCCCUGGGCCUAAUUUGGAUUUUUUUUGGAACACGUGCAGGUACUGUUAGUGUGUUUCAGUUCCCCGGGAAAAAUUCAGGGAAAAUUAGGGAAGGCCUGCAGGCGCACUGUGAAUCGUAUUCGGAUCUCGAAAACA